UUCGAGUGGCGGACGGGUGAGUAACGCGUGGGUAACCUGCCUUACACAGGGGGAUAACACCUGGAAACAGGUGCUAAUACCGCAUAAGCGCACAGGGCCGCAUGGCCCGGUGUGAAAAACUCCGGUGGUGUAAGAUGGACCCGCGUCUGAUUAGCUUGUUGGCGGGGUAGAGGCCCACCAAGGCGACGAUCAGUAGCCGGCCUGAGAGGGUGGACGGCACAUUGGGACUGAGACACGGCCCAAACUCCUACGGAAGGCAGCAG
RNAcentral lists this ribosomal RNA (263 nucleotides) under uncultured bacterium. Its description in RNAcentral is "partial 16S ribosomal RNA". It matches the Rfam family "Bacterial small subunit ribosomal RNA", at positions 90 to 354 of the family's 1533-position model. The record is from RNAcentral.